Molecule: unclassified non-coding RNA, 352 nt
Filed under: plant metagenome
Description: partial contains small subunit ribosomal RNA, internal transcribed spacer 1, and 5.8S ribosomal RNA
Source: RNAcentral
UUUCCGUAGGUGAACCUACGGAAGGAUCAUUAUAAAUGAAAAACGAAUAACUUCAGGGGAGAAGGGAACCUGCACGGUGACCUCCCCUGUCGGGCCACCCAAUACCUUCAAAAUGCCGCCGUCCUAGCGGUGGCAGACGAAAAAAAAACAAGAAAAACAAAAUAGAAACAGGCACGGUGGCCCGUUCACCUUCACACAACCCUCCGAGUACCGCUUCCAUGUUGCUUCCCCGCAAAUCCACCUCUUUGGUGAGCGCGGGGGAGGUCCGCAUCGAAUUCACCUGAAUGUCACAACAGUCAGACAGCCAUUCAUGGAAACAAUAAAACUUUCAACAACGGAUCUCUUGGUUCCC